GAGUUUGAUCCUGGCUCAGAUUGAACGCUGGCGGCAUGCCUUACACAUGCAAGUCGAACGGCAGCACGGGGGCAACCCUGGUGGCGAGUGGCGAACGGGUGAGUAAUGCAUCGGAACGUGCCCAGUAGUGGGGGAUAACUAGUCGAAAGAUUAGCUAAUACCGCAUACGACCUAUGGGUGAAAGCGGGGGACCUUUACCGGCCUCGCGCUAUUGGAGCGGCCGAUGUCUGAUUAGCUAGUUGGCGGGGUAAAAGCCCACCAAGGCGACGAUCAGUAGCUGGUCUGAGAGGACGACCAGCCACACUGGGACUGAGACACGGCCCAGACUCCUACGGGAGGCAGCAGUGGGGAAUUUUGGACAAUGGGCGCAAGCCUGAUCCAGCCAUGCCGCGUGCGGGAAGAAGGCCUUCGGGUUGUAAACCGCUUUUGGCAGGAACGAAACGGCGCGAGCGAAUCCAUGCCGCGUGCGGGAAGAAGGCCUUCGGGUUGUAAACCGCUUUUGGCAGGAACGAAACGGCGCGAGCGAAUAUCUCGCGUUAAUGACGGUACCUGCAGAAUAAGCACCGGCUAACUACGUGCCAGCAGCCGCGGUAAUACGUAGGGUGCAAGCGUUAAUCGGAAUUACUGGGCGUAAAGCGUACGCAGGCGGCUUUGCAAGACAGGUGUGAAAUCCCCGGGCCUAACCUGGGAACUGCAUUUGUGACUGCAUGGCUAGAGUUUGUCAGAGGGGGGUGGAAUUCCACGUGUAGCAGUGAAAUGCGUAGAUAUGUGGAGGAACACCGAUGGCGAAGGCAGCCCCCUGGGAUGUGACUGACGCUCAUGCACGAAAGCGUGGGGAGCAAACAGGAUUAGAUACCCUGGUAGUCCACGCCCUAAACGAUGUCUACUAGUUGUCGGGUUUUAAUUAACUUGGUAACGCAGCUAACGCGUGAAGUAGACCGCCUGGGGAGUACGGUCGCAAGAUUAAAACUCAAAGGAAUUGACGGGGACCCGCACAAGCGGUGGAUGAUGUGGAUUAAUUCGAUGCAACGCGAAAAACCUUACCUACCCUUGACAUGUACGGAAGCCACGAGAGAUCGAGGCGUGCUCGAAAGAGAGCCGUAACACAGGUGCUGCAUGGCUGUCGUCAGCUCGUGUCGUGA
Molecule: ribosomal RNA, 1142 nt
Filed under: agricultural soil bacterium SC-I-45
Lineage: Bacteria
Description: bacterial SSU rRNA
Rfam family: Bacterial small subunit ribosomal RNA
Source: RNAcentral